UACGAAGGGGGCUAGCGUUGCUCGGAAUUACUGGGCGUAAAGGGCGUGCAGGCGGUUGGGUAAGUUAGGCGUGAAAGACUUCGGCUAAACCGGGGGAGGUCGUCUGAUACUGCUCAACUUGAGUAUGGUAGAGGCGUGUAGAAUUCCGGGUGUAGUGGUGAAAUGCGUAGAGAUCCGGAGGAAUACCAGUGGCGAAGGCGGCACGCUGGGCCAUUACUGACGCUAAGACGCGAAAGCAUGGGUAGCGAACGGG
RNAcentral lists this ribosomal RNA (253 nucleotides) under uncultured bacterium. Its description in RNAcentral is "partial 16S ribosomal RNA". It matches the Rfam family "Bacterial small subunit ribosomal RNA", at positions 524 to 776 of the family's 1533-position model. The record is from RNAcentral.